RNAcentral lists this ribosomal RNA (2189 nucleotides) under Salmonella enterica subsp. enterica serovar Enteritidis. RNAcentral describes it as "partial 23S ribosomal RNA". It matches the Rfam family "Bacterial large subunit ribosomal RNA", at positions 630 to 2803 of the family's 2925-position model. The record is from RNAcentral. Lineage: Bacteria; Pseudomonadati; Pseudomonadota; Gammaproteobacteria; Enterobacterales; Enterobacteriaceae.
AUAUUCUGUAGCAAGGUUAACCGAAUAGGGGAGCCGGAGGGAAACCGAGUCUUAAUUGGGCGUUAAGUUGCAGGGUAUAGACCCGAAACCCGGUGAUCUAGCCAUGGGCAGGUUGAAGGUUGGGUAACACUAACUGGAGGACCGAACCGACUAAUGUUGAAAAAUUAGCGGAUGACCUGUGGCUGGGGGUGAAAGGCCAAUCAAACCGGGAGAUAGCUGGUUCUCCCCGAAAGCUAUUUAGGUAGCGCCUCGUGAAUUCAUCUCCGGGGGUAGAGCACUGUUUCGGCUAGGGGGCCAUCCCGGCUUACCAACCCGAUGCAAACUGCGAAUACCGGAGAAUGUUAUCACGGGAGACACACGGCGGGUGCUAACGUCCGUCGUGAAGAGGGAAACAACCCAGACCGCCAGCUAAGGUCCCAAAGUCAUGGUUAAGUGGGAAACGAUGUGGGAAGGCCCAGACAGCCAGGAUGUUGGCUUAGAAGCAGCCAUCAUUUAAAGAAAGCGUAAUAGCUCACUGGUCGAGUCGGCCUGCGCGGAAGAUGUAACGGGGCUAAACCAUGCACCGAAGCUGCGGCAGCGACACUGUGUGUUGUUGGGUAGGGGAGCGUUCUGUAAGCCUGCGAAGGUGGCCUGUGAGGGUUGCUGGAGGUAUCAGAAGUGCGAAUGCUGACAUAAGUAACGAUAAAGCGGGUGAAAAGCCCGCUCGCCGGAAGACCAAGGGUUCCUGUCCAACGUUAAUCGGGGCAGGGUGAGUCGACCCCUAAGGCGAGGCCGAAAGGCGUAGUCGAUGGGAAACGGGUUAAUAUUCCCGUACUUGGUGUUACUGCGAAGGGGGGACGGAGAAGGCUAUGUUGGCCGGGCGACGGUUGUCCCGGUUUAAGCGUGUAGGUGUGUGUUCCAGGUAAAUCCGGUUCACUUUAACACUGAGGCGUGACGACGAGGCACUACGGUGCUGAAGCAACAAAUGCCCUGCUUCCAGGAAAAGCCUCUAAGCAUCAGGUAACAUCAAAUCGUACCCCAAACCGACACAGGUGGUCAGGUAGAGAAUACCAAGGCGCUUGAGAGAACUCGGGUGAAGGAACUAGGCAAAAUGGUGCCGUAACUUCGGGAGAAGGCACGCUGACACGUAGGUGAAGUGAUUUACUCAUGGAGCUGAAGUCAGUCGAAGAUACCAGCUGGCUGCAACUGUUUAUUAAAAACACAGCACUGUGCAAACACGAAAGUGGACGUAUACGGUGUGACGCCUGCCCGGUGCCGGAAGGUUAAUUGAUGGGGUCAGCGCAAGCGAAGCUCCUGAUCGAAGCCCCGGUAAACGGCGGCCGUAACUAUAACGGUCCUAAGGUAGCGAAAUUCCUUGUCGGGUAAGUUCCGACCUGCACGAAUGGCGUAAUGAUGGCCAGGCUGUCUCCACCCGAGACUCAGUGAAAUUGAACUCGCUGUGAAGAUGCAGUGUACCCGCGGCAAGACGGAAAGACCCCGUGAACCUUUACUAUAGCUUGACACUGAACAUUGAGCCUUGAUGUGUAGGAUAGGUGGGAGGCUUUGAAGUGUGGACGCCAGUCUGCAUGGAGCCGACCUUGAAAUACCACCCUUUAAUGUUUGAUGUUCUAACGUGGACCCGUUACCCGGGUUGCGGACAGUGUCUGGUGGGUAGUUUGACUGGGGCGGUCUCCUCCUAAAGAGUAACGGAGGAGCACGAAGGUUGGCUAAUCCUGGUCGGACAUCAGGAGGUUAGUGCAAUGGCAUAAGCCAGCUUGACUGCGAGCGUGACGGCGCGAGCAGGUGCGAAAGCAGGUCAUAGUGAUCCGGUGGUUCUGAAUGGAAGGGCCAUCGCUCAACGGAUAAAAGGUACUCCGGGGAUAACAGGCUGAUACCGCCCAAGAGUUCAUAUCGACGGCGGUGUUUGGCACCUCGAUGUCGGCUCAUCACAUCCUGGGGCUGAAGUAGGUCCCAAGGGUAUGGCUGUUCGCCAUUUAAAGUGGUACGCGAGCUGGGUUUAGAACGUCGUGAGACAGUUCGGUCCCUAUCUGCCGUGGGCGCUGGAGAACUGAGGGGGGCUGCUCCUAGUACGAGAGGACCGGAGUGGACGCAUCACUGGUGUUCGGGUUGUCAUGCCAAUGGCACUGCCCGGUAGCUAAAUGCGGAAGAGAUAAGUGCUGAAAGCAUCUAAGCACGAAACUUGCCCCGAG